GUGGGGAAUAUUGGACAAUGGGCGAAAGCCUGAUCCAGCCAUGCCGCGUGUGUGAAGAAGGUCUUCGGAUUGUAAAGCACUUUAAGUUGGGAGGAAGGGCAGUAAGUUAAUACCUUGCUGUUUUGACGUUACCAACAGAAUAAGCACCGGCUAACUUCGUGCCAGCAGCCGCGGUAAUACGAAGGGUGCAAGCGUUAAUCGGAAUUACUGGGCGUAAAGCGCGCGUAGGUGGUUCAGCAAGUUGGAGGUGAAAUCCCCGGGCUCAACCUGGGAACUGCCUCCAAAACUGCAUGACUAGAGUACGGUAGAGGGUAGUGGAAUUUCCUGUGUAGCGGUGAAAUGCGUAGAUAUAGGAAGGAACACCAGUGGCGAAGGCGACUACCUGGACUGAUACUGACACUGAGGUGCGAAAGCGUGGGGAGCAAACAGGAUUAGAAACCCCGGUAGUCC
RNAcentral lists this ribosomal RNA (450 nucleotides) under uncultured bacterium. Its description in RNAcentral is "bacterial SSU rRNA". It matches the Rfam family "Bacterial small subunit ribosomal RNA", at positions 354 to 796 of the family's 1533-position model. The record is from RNAcentral.